RNAcentral lists this ribosomal RNA (422 nucleotides) under uncultured bacterium. Its description in RNAcentral is "bacterial SSU rRNA". It matches the Rfam family "Bacterial small subunit ribosomal RNA", at positions 362 to 775 of the family's 1533-position model. The record is from RNAcentral.
UCUUCCGCAAUGGACGAAAGUCUGACGGAGCAACGCCGCGUGAGUGAUGAAGGUUUUCGGAUCGUAAAACUCUGUUGUUAGGGAAGAACAAGUACCGUUCGAAUAGGGCGGCACCUUGACGGUACCUAACCAGAAAGCCACGGCUAACUACGUGCAAGCAGCCGCGGUAAUACGUAGGUGGCAAGCGUUGUCCGGAGUUAUUGGCCGUAAACCGCGGGCAGGCGGUUUCUUAAGUAUGAUGUGAAAGCCCCCGGCUCAACCGGGGAGGGUCAUUGGAAACUGGGGGACUUGAGUGCAGAAGAGGAGAGUGGAAUUCCACGUGUAGCGGUGAAAUGCGUAGAGAUGUGGAGGAACACCAGUGGCGAAGGCGACUCUCUGGUCUGUAACUGACGCUGGGGCGCGAAAGCGUGGGGAGCGAACAG